AUCGCGGAAGGCGGAGGGCUGAGCCCCAGCGCCCCCAGCUCCUCGCCCCAAGUCCCAGUGACCCGCACUGUGGCCCUGGGGAAAGUCUCCUGGCAGGAGAGCCAAGGUCCUUGGUGCAGUUGUGGCACCACAGAAAGAAGCCACCUGAAUUCCUUGGCUUGUGGCUCCUUCCUCCAUCUUCAAAACCAACAACAGCAGAUCAAGUCCUUCAUAUUGCAUCCUCUGACCUCCUGCUAUGCUUUUCAAACUUUUUUAUUAGCAAAAUACAAUAUUUAAUGGAUUUGUGCUUAGCAUGCCUAAGAUUAUUUGACCAUAAGGAAGGUCUUAAAGGACUAAGGAAAAGUAGGAUGACAGUUAAAUUGCCUAUUUGAACAGUACUACAAUAAAGAAGGAAAACUGAG
Molecule: long non-coding RNA, 401 nt
Organism: Heterocephalus glaber (naked mole-rat)
Lineage: Eukaryota; Metazoa; Chordata; Mammalia; Rodentia; Bathyergidae
Source: Ensembl